ACACUUUUCUUACGUAUUUUGACCUCAGGAAUCCGAAUCUGGAAGAAAAAUUGACCUAUCUCUAAAAUUGACCGAGUUAUCGCCAAUUUUCAGCUUUUUGGGGUCAAAAAUAAAAAAUUCAUUUUUUAGUCUAUAUUAAUGUAAUUUGAGCUCAGGAAUCCGAAUCCAGAGGAAAAAUUGAUCUAUCUUCGAAAAUUACCGAGUUAUCGCCGAUUUUUCGCAUUUUUUGGCAUAAAAAUGGAGAUAUCUCGAAGGGAAAAAAUCGCAGCUCAAUUUGGACAACGGAUUCGUGUUCCUGAGGUCAAAAUACAUAAGAAAAGUGCCAUACGAUCAAUUUUAAAAAAUAAAAAUUUUUGGCCAAAAUUUGAAAAAAUCGUAAGGGGUACCCCUUGGAAAAAUCUCAAAUUUUGGCCAAAAAUUUUUAUUUUUUAAAAUUGAUCGUAUGGCACUUUUCUUAUGCAUUUUGACCUCAGGAACACGAAUCCGUUGUCCAAAUUGAGCUACGAUUUUUUCCCUUCGAGAUAUUUCCAUUUUUAUGGUAAAAAGUGCGAAAAAAUGGGGAUAACUAGUUCAUUUUUGCAGAUAGAUCAAUUUUUCUUCCGGAUUCGGAUUCUUGAGUUCAAAUUACAUUAAGAUAGACUAAUAAAUCAAUUUUUUAUUUUUGACCCCAAAAAGCUGAAAAUUGGCGAUAACUCGGUCAAUUUUAGAGAUAGUUUAAUUUUUCUUCCAGAUUCAGAUUCCUGAGGUCAAAAUACGUAAGAAAAGCAUGUUAAACCCAAUUAAAACAAUGAUUUAUUUUUUGCUCAAAAAUCGAAUUCGUUUUUUGGUUCUUCAAGAGUAAUCUCACGUAUAAUCAGCUGAGGAAUCCAAAUCUG
This 875-nucleotide unclassified non-coding RNA is filed under the name Athalia rosae (coleseed sawfly). RNAcentral describes it as "misc RNA ENSAEAG00005005609.1". The record is from RNAcentral. Lineage: Eukaryota; Metazoa; Arthropoda; Insecta; Hymenoptera; Athaliidae.